This 68-nucleotide transfer RNA is filed under the name Marmota monax (woodchuck). RNAcentral's name for it is "tRNA.Ala". The record is from RNAcentral. Lineage: Eukaryota; Metazoa; Chordata; Mammalia; Rodentia; Sciuridae.
GCUGUAGCUCAGUGGCAGAGCACUUGCUUUGCAUGUGUGAGGCACUGGGUUCGAUCCUUAGCACUGCA